UACAGAGGUCUCAAGCGUUGUUCGGAUUCAUUGGGCGUAAAGGGUGCGUAGGCGGGUUCUUAAGUAAGGUGUUUAAUCCCGGGGCCCAACCCCGGACCGGCACUUUAAACUGGGAAUCUUGAAUAGUGGAGAGGUCAGUGGAAUUGGGGGUGUAGCGGUGGAAUGCGUAGAGAUCCCCAAGAACACCAGUUGCGAAGGCGGCUGACUGGACACAUAUUGACGCUGAGGCUCGAAAGCAUGGGGAGCAAACAGG
RNAcentral lists this ribosomal RNA (253 nucleotides) under uncultured bacterium. RNAcentral describes it as "partial 16S ribosomal RNA". It matches the Rfam family "Bacterial small subunit ribosomal RNA", at positions 524 to 776 of the family's 1533-position model. The record is from RNAcentral.